GUCACCAAGUGUCUAUAGUGAAGAAGUGAAGGAAGUCGUUUUGGCUGCCGUGCUGCUCGAACACGCCAUGUUCAUGCCAUGAAAGAGAAAAAUAUACCUGGA
This is a long non-coding RNA of Austrofundulus limnaeus, 102 nucleotides long. RefSeq lists it as uncharacterized. The transcript is spliced from 3 exons. NCBI's taxonomy places the organism in Eukaryota, Metazoa, Chordata, Actinopteri, Cyprinodontiformes, Rivulidae. The record is from RefSeq and is a predicted model, not a curated record.